RNAcentral lists this ribosomal RNA (474 nucleotides) under Streptococcus australis. RNAcentral's name for it is "bacterial SSU rRNA". It matches the Rfam family "Bacterial small subunit ribosomal RNA", at positions 28 to 485 of the family's 1533-position model. The record is from RNAcentral. Lineage: Bacteria; Bacillati; Bacillota; Bacilli; Lactobacillales; Streptococcaceae.
GAUGAACGCUGGCGGCGUGCCUAAUACAUGCAAGUAGAACGCUGAAGGAAGGAGCUUGCUCUUUCCGGAUGAGUUGCGAACGGGUGAGUAACGCGUAGGUAACCUGCCUGGUAGCGGGGGAUAACUAUUGGAAACGAUAGCUAAUACCGCGUAACAGUAGAUAUUGCAUGAUAUCUGCUUGAAAGGGGCAAUUGCUCCACUACCAGAUGGACCUGCGUUGUAUUAGCUAGUUGGUGAGGUAACGGCUCACCAAGGCGACGAUACAUAGCCGACCUGAGAGGGUGAUCGGCCACACUGGGACUGAGACACGGCCCAGACUCCUACGGGAGGCAGCAGUAGGGAAUCUUCGGCAAUGGACGGAAGUCUGACCGAGCAACGCCGCGUGAGUGAAGAAGGUUUUCGGAUCGUAAAGCUCUGUUGUAAGAGAAGAACGAGUGUGAGAGUGGAAAGUUCACACUGUGACGGUAUCUACCA